This 734-nucleotide ribosomal RNA is filed under the name uncultured Christensenella sp. RNAcentral's name for it is "bacterial SSU rRNA". It matches the Rfam family "Bacterial small subunit ribosomal RNA", at positions 28 to 776 of the family's 1533-position model. Lineage: Bacteria; Bacillati; Bacillota; Clostridia; Christensenellales; Christensenellaceae. The record is from RNAcentral.
GACGAACGCUGGCGGCGUGCUUAAUACAUGCAAGUCGAACGGAGGCAGAGACUUCGGUUUCUGUCUUAGUGGCGAACGGGUGAGUAACGCGUGAAUAACCUGACUCAAAGAGGGGGAUAACAAUCGGAAACGAUUGCUAAUACCGCAUAAGACCACAACACCGCAUGAUGAAGGGGUCAAAGAGAUAUCGCUUUGAGAGGGGUUCGCGUCCCAUUAGGUAGUUGGAGGGGUAACGGCCCACCAAGCCAACGAUGGGUAGCCGAGCUGAGAGGCUGAUCGGCCACACUGGAACUGAGACACGGUCCAGACUCCUACGGGAGGCAGCAGUAGGGAAUAUUGGGCAAUGGGCGCAAGCCUGACCCAGCAACGCCGCGUGAGGGAAGAAGGUUUUCGGAUUGUAAACCUCUGUCCUAUGUGACGAAGGAAGUGACGGUAGCAUAGGAGGAAGCCCCGGCUAACUACGUGCCAGCAGCCGCGGUAAUACGUAGGGGGCGAGCGUUGUCCGGAAUUACUGGGCGUAAAGGGUGCGUAGGCGGUUUGGUAAGUUGGAUGUGAAAUACCCGAGCUUAACUUGGGGGCUGCAUCCAAUACUGCUGAACUUGAGUGCAGGAGAGGAAAGCGGAAUUCCUAGUGUAGCGGUGAAAUGCGUAGAUAUUAGGAGGAACACCGGUGGCGAAGGCGGCUUUCUGGACUGUAACUGACGCUGAGGCACGAAAGCGUGGGGAGCAAACAGG